AGAGUUUGAUCCUGGCUCAGAAUGAACGCUGGCGGCGUGCUUAACACAUGCAAGUCGAACGAUGAAGCCUAGCUUGCUAGGUGGAUUAGUGGCGCACGGGUGAGUAAUAUAUAGAUAAUGUGCCUCUUAGUCUGGGAUAGCCAUUGGAAACGAUGAUUAAUACUAGAUACUCCUUCUCUUUAUAAUUAGAGUUGGGAAAGUUUUUCGCUAAGAGAUCAGUCUAUAUCCCAUCAGUUAGUUGGUAGGGUAAUGGCCUACCAAGGCAAUGACGGGUAGCGGGUUUGAGAGGAUGAUCCGCCACACUGGUACUGAGACACGGACCAGACUCCUACGGGAGGCAGCAGUGAGGAAUAUUGCACAAUGGAGGAAACUCUGAUGCAGCAACGCCGCGUGGAGGAUGACGCAUUUCGNUGUGUAAACUCCUUUNAUAUGCCNAGAAAAUGACGGNAGCAUAUGAAUAAGCCACCGGCCUAACUCCGUGCCAGCAGCCNCGGUAAUCCGGGGNGUGCNNGCCUUACUCGGAAUCCCUGGGCCGUAANGAGCAUGUNCGCUGNCUUGUAAGNUGGACCUGAAAUCCNAUGGCUNAACCCNUANNACCGGCU
Molecule: ribosomal RNA, 602 nt
Filed under: uncultured bacterium
Lineage: Bacteria
Description: partial 16S ribosomal RNA
Rfam family: Bacterial small subunit ribosomal RNA
Source: RNAcentral